Molecule: transfer RNA, 70 nt
Filed under: Dipodomys ordii (Ord's kangaroo rat)
Lineage: Eukaryota; Metazoa; Chordata; Mammalia; Rodentia; Heteromyidae
Rfam family: tRNA
About the family: Transfer RNA (tRNA) molecules are approximately 80 nucleotides in length. Their secondary structure includes four short double-helical elements and three loops (D, anti-codon, and T loops). Further hydrogen bonds mediate the characteristic L-shaped molecular structure. tRNAs have two regions of fundamental functional importance: the anti-codon, which is responsible for specific mRNA codon recognition, and the 3' end, to which the tRNAs corresponding amino acid is attached (by aminoacyl-tRNA synthetases). tRNAs cope with the degeneracy of the genetic code in two manners: having more than one tRNA (with a specific anti-codon) for a particular amino acid; and 'wobble' base-pairing, i.e. permitting non-standard base-pairing at the 3rd anti-codon position.
Source: Rfam by way of RNAcentral
GGGAAUGUGGCUUAGUGGUAUAGUGCUUGCCUAGUAUGCAUGAAGCCCUGGGUUCGAUUCCUCAGUACCA